AUUCGUUUGAACUCAACAAAGCACCAGGCACGCAUACUCGCUGCCGAGUAACAAGAGCUGCCGGGGCAUUAAUUUCGAGUCAGCUGCCUUGAAGCUCGAUCUAACCAGUUUCAUAGGAUGCUCCGCUGCAAACCAGAUUCGCCGGAGCAUUUCCAUUAUUCUCUCUGUAGCCCGGUGUGCCGUGAAUCUGCACCGAGCACAGAAAGAGGAGCGCAUAUUUGAAAUUUUGUGAAGCGAAUUGAAUUUAUAGAAACGAAGGCUUUUGGCUUUGAUGCUGCUGCGGCUCACUCGACAAAUCAUACUGCGUCAGUAUAGCGGAUAUUACUAAAAAAUUGAUAUUCGGUCGAUGGAUCGAAUCGCGUUGAGUUAAGCGAACGUUUAAAAUGAUUCAAUCACCCGACGAUAUGUAUCGUCGAUGGAUUGCUUGACAAAUAUUCCAGGAAAAU
RNAcentral lists this unclassified non-coding RNA (446 nucleotides) under Bombus terrestris (buff-tailed bumblebee). Its description in RNAcentral is "misc RNA ENSBTSG00005020077.1". Lineage: Eukaryota; Metazoa; Arthropoda; Insecta; Hymenoptera; Apidae. The record is from RNAcentral.